AACGAACGCUGGCGGCAUGCCUAACACAUGCAAGUCGAACGAGAUCUUCGGAUCUAGUGGCGCACGGGUGCGUAACGCGUGGGAAUCUGCCCUUGGGUUCGGAAUAACAGUUAGAAAUGACUGCUAAUACCGGAUGAUGACGUAAGUCCAAAGAUUUAUCGCCCAAGGAUGAGCCCGCGUAGGAUUAGCUAGUUGGUGGGGUAAAGGCCCACCAAGGCGACGAUCCUUAGCUGGUCUGAGAGGAUGAUCAGCCACACUGGGACUGAGACACGGCCCAGACUCCUACGGGAGGCAGCAGUGGGGAAUAUUGGACAAUGGGCGAAAGCCUGAUCCAGCAAUGCCGCGUGAGUGAUGAAGGCCUUAGGGUUGUAAAGCUCUUUUACCCGGGAUGAUAAUGACAGUACCGGGAGAAUAAGCUCCGGCUAACUCCGUGCCAGCAGCCGCGGUAAUACGGAGGGAGCUAGCGUUGUUCGGAAUUACUGGGCGUAAAGCGCACGUAGGCGGCUUUGUAAGUUAGAGGUGAAAGCCUGGAGCUCAACUCCAGAAUUGCCUUUAAGACUGCAUCGCUCGAAUCCAGGAGAGGUGAGUGGAAUUCCGAGUGUAGAGGUGAAAUUCGUAGAUAUUCGGAAGAACACCAGUGGCGAAGGCGGCUCACUGGACUGGUAUUGACGCUGAGGUGCGAA
This 683-nucleotide ribosomal RNA is filed under the name uncultured Alphaproteobacteria bacterium. Its description in RNAcentral is "bacterial SSU rRNA". It matches the Rfam family "Bacterial small subunit ribosomal RNA", at positions 28 to 757 of the family's 1533-position model. Lineage: Bacteria; Pseudomonadati; Pseudomonadota; Alphaproteobacteria. The record is from RNAcentral.